GGGCCUGUUUCACGAAGCAGGUUUAGUGAAAACUCUGAGUUUCUUAACCCUGAAAUGAGGGAAACUCAGAGUUUUCCGUUUCACGAAGCGAGGUAACUUAACCCUGAGACAGAGGGGUAACUCUAGCCUGUUUCACAAAGAGGGGUAACUUCAACUCUCGGUCAGUUACCGCAGUAACAGACUCUAUGACUCUAACCUGGUCACCAGCAGGUUUAUCUGAGAAAACCUCCAGUUUCUCUCCGUCUCCGCCCUCUUUCAGCCACACGCUGUUUCAUUUCCUCAUUCAUUCAGUCAGUAAGCGAGCGAGUUUUGGCGUAGAACAGCUUUUAUUAACGAUCCAGUGGAUAAAGGAGCAGCAUUACUGCACAGAUCAUUAAAUAUUCGUCGGUAGAUUGUUAUCAGACCGAGCAUAAAUGUUCUCGCAUUUCCAGACAAUUAUAGGUUUGAGCGGUACCGUUUCGUAAUCGUUUCAAGUCCAUAAUCUACAUAAACAACCUAAUCCGUCCUUACAUUUACAUUACCAACCAGUCAUGCUCUCACAUCCAGCAGAUAUUGUGUGUUGCGCUGCGGUUCUUUGCAAAUGGAAGUUUUUAUAUAAUGUCGGAGAUGCAGAGUAAGACAACUGUAUGGAGGACAGUCAGAAAAGUUUUCCUGGCUCUGAAACGACUUUAACUCAUCAUUGUGGUUUUCCUGGACAUAAACCUGUCAGAACAUCAAGGAGGAUCCACAGGAUUGCAGGAUUUCCCAGUGUGAUUGGCUGCAUAGAUGCACACACAUCCCCAUCACAGCUCCCUCACAUCAUGAACAGGAAGUCCAUUCACAGCAUAAAUGUGCAGGUAGGCUACAGGUAGACUGACUACUGUUUCUAAAUGUUAAAGACUGCAUCAUAGUUCAACAUCUGUCAUUCUCUGCACUGUCCAGAUCAUAUGUGAUGCUGCAUACAUCAUUUCUAAUGUGGAGGCCACGUGGUCUGGGUCUGUUCAUGACUCCAGGAUUUAUGGAGAGUCUAACCUGAUCAACAGACUGCAGCGUGGUCAGCAGCAUAAAGAUUUUCACAAUAGAAUUCUCUUGUCUCCCUCCUUUAAUAUGCUCUGAUGUAUCCACUAUACAUUACAGGAGAGUUUGAUGGCCUUCUGCUGGGUGACAGGGGUUACCAUGACAACCCAGGCUGAUGACCUCAUACCCUGACCCUGAACCAGGCCCCCAACAGAACUUCAACCGGACUCACUGCAGGACCAGAGCCCGGGUGGAGAUGACCAUAGGCCUGCUGAAAGCCCGUUUCCAGAGCCUACGUCUCCUCAGGGUGACCCCUGAGAGGGCCUGUGAUAUUACUGUGGCAUGUGUUGUUCUUCAUAAUAUUACCACUAUUAGAGGAGAGCAACACCCUGCCCUACAAACUGAAGACCCAGAUGAUGAGCCCAUCCACCUGCAGCUAUCCAGGACAGCAGAGCAGUCAGAGACACCGUAUGCAAGAAUCACUUUAGAGUUUAAGUCUCCAUCAUCACCACCACAGCAAAUAAAGACAUGAUACACAUUUCA
Acanthochromis polyacanthus (spiny chromis) is the source of this 1539-nucleotide long non-coding RNA. RefSeq lists it as uncharacterized. The record is from RefSeq and is a predicted model, not a curated record. The transcript has 2 exons. Lineage: Eukaryota; Metazoa; Chordata; Actinopteri; Pomacentridae.